RNAcentral lists this transfer RNA (88 nucleotides) under Candidatus Omnitrophota bacterium. RNAcentral's name for it is "tRNA-Ser". It matches the Rfam family "tRNA". Rfam says of the family: Transfer RNA (tRNA) molecules are approximately 80 nucleotides in length. Their secondary structure includes four short double-helical elements and three loops (D, anti-codon, and T loops). Further hydrogen bonds mediate the characteristic L-shaped molecular structure. tRNAs have two regions of fundamental functional importance: the anti-codon, which is responsible for specific mRNA codon recognition, and the 3' end, to which the tRNAs corresponding amino acid is attached (by aminoacyl-tRNA synthetases). tRNAs cope with the degeneracy of the genetic code in two manners: having more than one tRNA (with a specific anti-codon) for a particular amino acid; and 'wobble' base-pairing, i.e. permitting non-standard base-pairing at the 3rd anti-codon position. The record is from RNAcentral. Lineage: Bacteria; Pseudomonadati; Candidatus Omnitrophota.
GGAGGCGUCGCAUAGUUGGUUGAGUGCACCGGUUUCGAAAACCGGAGUCUGCGCAAGUGGAUCGAAGGUUCGAAUCCUUCCGCCUCCG